CAGGCACUGAGACACACACUUUUUUUCCCUAGCUGCUACAGGAGCUGAGAGACCCUACCCUCACUUUCCGUCUGCUUGGCUCCCCCAGGCCUGUAGUGGUGGAGACACGCCCAGUGGAUGAUCCUACUGCUCCCAGCAACCUCUACAUCCAGGAAUGAGUCCCUAGGGGGGGUGUCAGGAACUAGUCCUUGCACCCCCUCCCCCAUAGACACACUAGUGGUCAUGGCAUGUCC
RNAcentral lists this small RNA (233 nucleotides) under Pan troglodytes (chimpanzee). RNAcentral's name for it is "retained intron". Lineage: Eukaryota; Metazoa; Chordata; Mammalia; Primates; Hominidae. The record is from RNAcentral.